UGGGGAAUAUUGCACAAUGGGCGCAAGCCUGAUGCAGCAACGCCGCGUGGAGGAAGACGGUUUUCGGAUUGUAAACUCCUGUUCUUAGUGAAGAAAAUGACGGUAGCUAAGGAGCAAGCCACGGCUAACUACGUGCCAGCAGCCGCGGUAAUACGUAGGUGGCAAGCGUUGUCCGGAAUUACUGGGUGUAAAGGGCGCGUAGGCGGGGAUGCAAGUCAGAUGUGAAAUCUAUGGGCUUAACCCAUAAACUGCAUUUGAAACUGUAUCUCUUGAGUGUCGGAGAGGUAGACGGAAUUCCUAGUGUAGCGGUGAAAUGCGUAGAUAUUAGGAGGAACACCAGUGGCGAAGGCGGUCUACUGGACGAUAACUGACGCUGAGGCGCGAAAGCGUGGGGAGCAAACAGGGAUUAGAUACCCUGGGUAGU
Molecule: ribosomal RNA, 424 nt
Filed under: uncultured Eubacterium sp.
Lineage: Bacteria; Bacillati; Bacillota; Clostridia; Eubacteriales; Eubacteriaceae
Description: bacterial SSU rRNA
Rfam family: Bacterial small subunit ribosomal RNA
Source: RNAcentral